GCCCAAUGAUGAGACCAAGGCGAAUACGAGCUUACUGAAUGAGAGUUGGGUUCUUCUUGCCUUGAUUGGCAGGUAAUCUUGGUGGUGUAGAGGAGGAUUUCUGCUCCGCUGUAAGGGCCUGCCUACAGUGACUUGGCUCAAUCCAAAUUAUUCUGCUACAGUCAAAGCAGAGUAAUUGCUGGGAUGAAGCUGACAGUGUGUGUGUGUGUGUACGUGUGUAAAAGGCAAGGAGUUCACCCAGCUCUCUUUGCUCUUCAGUCAGCAAUGAGUUGUGUCUUUGGUAAUCUGAGGGCC
Small nucleolar RNA from Thunnus maccoyii (southern bluefin tuna), 294 nucleotides. NCBI's taxonomy places the organism in Eukaryota, Metazoa, Chordata, Actinopteri, Scombriformes, Scombridae. The record is from RefSeq and is a predicted model, not a curated record.